This 468-nucleotide ribosomal RNA is filed under the name uncultured bacterium. Its description in RNAcentral is "partial 16S ribosomal RNA". It matches the Rfam family "Bacterial small subunit ribosomal RNA", at positions 28 to 507 of the family's 1533-position model. The record is from RNAcentral.
GACGAACGCUGGCGGCGUGCUUAACACAUGCAAGUCGAACGGAAAGGCCCUGCUUUUGUGGGGUGCUCGAGUGGCGAACGGGUGAGUAACACGUGAGUAACCUGCCCUUGACUUUGGGAUAACUUCAGGAAACUGGGGCUAAUACCGGAUAGGAGCUCCUGCUGCAUGGUGGGGGUUGGAAAGUUUCGGCGGUUGGGGAUGGACUCGCGGCUUAUCAGCUUGUUGGUGGGGUAGUGGCUUACCAAGGCUUUGACGGGUAGCCGGCCUGAGAGGGUGACCGGCCACAUUGGGACUGAGGUACGGCCCAGACGCCUACGGGAGGCAGCAGUGGGGAAUAUUGCACAAUGGGCGGAAGCCUGAUGCAGCAACGCCGCGUGCGGGAUGACGGCCUUCGGGGUGUAAACCGCUUUCGCCUGUGACGAAGCGUGAGUGACGGUAAUGGGUAAAGAAGCACCGGCUAACUACGUG